ACUCCUACGGGAGGCAGCAGUAGGGAAUCUUCCGCAAUGGGCGAAAGCCUGACGGAGCAACGCCGCGUGAGUGAUGAAGGUUUUCGGAUCGUAAAGCUCUGUUGCCAAGGAAGAACGUCUCAUAGAGUAACUGCUAUGAGAGUGACGGUACUUGAGAAGAAAGCCCCGGCUAACUACGUGCCAGCAGCCGCGGUAAUACGUAGGGGGCAAGCGUUGUCCGGAAUUAUUGGGCGUAAAGCGCGCGCAGGCGGUUCUUUAAGUCUGGUGUUUAAACCUGGGGCUCAACUUCAGGUCGCACUGGAAACUGGGGAACUUGAGUGCAGAAGAGGAGAGUGGAAUUCCACGUGUAGCGGUGAAAUGCGUAGAUAUGUGGAGGAACACCAGUGGCGAAGGCGACUCUCUGGGCUGUAACUGACGCUGAGGCGCGAAAGCGUGGGGAGCAAACAGGAUUAGAUACCCUGGUAGUCCACGCCGUAAACGAUGAGUGCUAAGUGUUGGAGGGUUUCCGCCCUUCAGUGCUGCAGCUAACGCAUUAAGCACUCCGCCUGGGGAGUACGACCGCAAGGUUG
This 569-nucleotide ribosomal RNA is filed under the name Paenibacillus sp. enrichment culture clone M5C6. RNAcentral describes it as "bacterial SSU rRNA". It matches the Rfam family "Bacterial small subunit ribosomal RNA", at positions 335 to 896 of the family's 1533-position model. The record is from RNAcentral. Lineage: Bacteria; Bacillati; Bacillota; Bacilli; Caryophanales; Paenibacillaceae.